This is a non-coding RNA of Vicia faba (fava bean), 255 nucleotides long. NCBI's taxonomy places the organism in Eukaryota, Viridiplantae, Streptophyta, Magnoliopsida, Fabales, Fabaceae. The record is from the annotation of a GenBank genome assembly.
AUGAAAAUGAAAAAACAUUGUAGACUUUGGUGGCCAAGGUCGCUCUUACCAAACCAAGAAUCCUCCUCCAGUGUUUUAUUGGGGUGGUUUGUCACCUGCUCACCGUCAUCCCUUGACAUUGUUGUAGCCUUUGCUUGUAGUGAAGUUUUGAUUUCGAGUUCUAAUCCCGCCAUUGAGGGGAUCAUUCAUGACAUACACGGGAGCAUGCCCGCAAUUCUUCAGGAUAGAAGGAAGUACAAGUGCACACAAAAAUAA